This 106-nucleotide ribosomal RNA is filed under the name uncultured Oscillospiraceae bacterium. RNAcentral describes it as "partial 16S ribosomal RNA". It matches the Rfam family "Bacterial small subunit ribosomal RNA", at positions 545 to 650 of the family's 1533-position model. The record is from RNAcentral. Lineage: Bacteria; Bacillati; Bacillota; Clostridia; Eubacteriales; Oscillospiraceae.
CCGGAAUUACUGGGUGUAAAGGGAGCGCAGGCGGGAAGACAAGUUGGAAGUGAAAUCUAUGGGCUCAACCCAUAAACUGCUUUCAAAACUGUUUUUCUUGAUUAGU